Oncorhynchus tshawytscha (Chinook salmon) is the source of this 666-nucleotide long non-coding RNA. NCBI's taxonomy places the organism in Eukaryota, Metazoa, Chordata, Actinopteri, Salmoniformes, Salmonidae. The record is from Ensembl.
CAUAGCUGUACCACAGAGCUGUACCACAUUACUGUACCACAGAGCUGUACCACAUUACUGUACCACAUAGCUGUACCACGGAGCUGUACCACAGAGUAACAUUCUGUCCACCAACUGGUGCCCAGCCCACAUGGGCUUAUAGGACACCAUAUCAAGUAUCAAAACAUUACAUUAAACAAAUGUAAUGCCUUUAACAAUUAAAUGUGUAAUUAGCAAACACAUGUUCAAAUACAUACAGGUUCACAUACUGUACAAAUACAUACAGGUUCACAUACUGUACAAAUACAUACAGGUACACAUACUGUACAAAUACAUACAGGUUCACAUACUGUACAAAUACAUAAAGGUACACAUACUGUACAAAUACAUAAAGGUACACAUACUGCUCAAAUACAUACAGGUACACAUACUGUUCUAUGUAGAUCAUCUAUAUAGCUGCUGUGGGAUCUUGAUUAAAGGCUCAAUACAAUCAAACAGGUCAGGAAACUCUCAGGUGAUUCCAGAUUAGCGGCCAUUUCAAAGGGUGAGCAAUUUCCCCAGUCCCACCCGACCAUCUGCAUACCGCACUGGAACCUUUGAUAUCCCUUGGUUCUUCUAUUCCCUUGGUCCUACCAUCCAACUACACCUGUCUGUCUCACACUCUCUCCUCUUGGUAGACCUGUCUGU